Acanthosepion pharaonis is the source of this 112-nucleotide non-coding RNA. NCBI's taxonomy places the organism in Eukaryota, Metazoa, Mollusca, Cephalopoda, Sepiida, Sepiidae. The record is from the annotation of a GenBank genome assembly.
GAUGGCCAUAUAAUGUAGAAGCACCAGUUCUCAUCUGAUCACAGAAGUUAAACAACAUUGAGUAUGGCCAUUACAUAGAUGGUUCACUGCUGGGGAAUACCAGGUGCUGUAA